Molecule: transfer RNA, 69 nt
Filed under: Ictidomys tridecemlineatus (thirteen-lined ground squirrel)
Lineage: Eukaryota; Metazoa; Chordata; Mammalia; Rodentia; Sciuridae
Description: Spermophilus tridecemlineatus (thirteen-lined ground squirrel) tRNA
Rfam family: tRNA
About the family: Transfer RNA (tRNA) molecules are approximately 80 nucleotides in length. Their secondary structure includes four short double-helical elements and three loops (D, anti-codon, and T loops).
Source: Rfam by way of RNAcentral
GGGGUUGUGGCUCAGUGGUGGAGUGUUCGCCUGGCAUGCAGGAGGCACUGAGUUCAAUCCUCAGCACCA